GCCUGCUUAGCUCAGUGGCCAGAGCGUUGGUUUUCGGCUAGCAUACCGAGACCGCCAACGGUCGCAGGUUCGACCCCUGUAGUAGGCU
Transfer RNA from Trichosporon asahii var. asahii CBS 8904, 88 nucleotides. It matches the Rfam family "tRNA". Rfam says of the family: Transfer RNA (tRNA) molecules are approximately 80 nucleotides in length. Their secondary structure includes four short double-helical elements and three loops (D, anti-codon, and T loops). The record is from Rfam. Lineage: Eukaryota; Fungi; Basidiomycota; Tremellomycetes; Trichosporonales; Trichosporonaceae.